CGUCUAUAUACGUAUAGCAUAUCAAUAAGCGGAGGAAAAGAAACUAACAAGGAUUCCCUUAGUAACGGCGAGUGAAGCGGGAAGAGCUCAAAUUUGAAAUCUUCAAGGGUUCUACCUUGACGAAUUGUAGUUUAUAAGAAGUGUUUUCUGUUAGUAGAGGUGGCUAAAAGUUCUUUGGAAUAGGACAUCAUAGAGGGUGAGAAUCCCGUAUUUGAUCAUUCUUUCUAACGUUGUGAUACACUUUCAACGAGUCGGAUUGUUUGGGAAUGCAGUCCAAAAUGGGUGGUAAAUUUCAUCUAAAGCUAAAUAUUGGCGAGAGACCGAUAGCGAACAAGUACCGUGAGGGAAAGAUGAAAAGAACUUUGAAAAGAGAGUUAAACAGUACGUGAAAUUGUCAAAAGGGAAGCGUUUGACACCAGUGUUGUUUUUCCGAAAAUCAAUUGACGAAUGUUUUAUUUUUGAGGAGUUAUGACUUCAUCGGCUUGCUUCUCUCUUUAUGAAACUUUCUUAAUGCACUUUUCGGUUAACAAGUCAACAUCAAUUUCUUUUGUUGUAAAAGAGUAUGAGGAAGGUGGCUUUCUUUUCGGAGAAAGUGUUUAUAGCCUUGUACCUCUGCAAUCGGAGAGAUUGAGGUCUGCAGCGUAGGAUCCUUCGGGGUUAGAUACAGUUUGUGCUAAGUUAUAGCUUUUCAUAGACAACUUGUUGACUAUGUUUAGUCUUGUAGCUUACUCGCUGAUGCUAUUUUACCUACGCUUAGGAUGUUGAAGAUAUGCGCGACACG
RNAcentral lists this ribosomal RNA (781 nucleotides) under uncultured Neocallimastigales. Its description in RNAcentral is "partial large subunit ribosomal RNA". It matches the Rfam family "Eukaryotic large subunit ribosomal RNA", at positions 26 to 644 of the family's 3401-position model. Lineage: Eukaryota; Fungi; Neocallimastigomycota; Neocallimastigomycetes; Neocallimastigales. The record is from RNAcentral.